RNAcentral lists this ribosomal RNA (355 nucleotides) under uncultured bacterium. RNAcentral's name for it is "bacterial SSU rRNA". It matches the Rfam family "Bacterial small subunit ribosomal RNA", at positions 8 to 351 of the family's 1533-position model. The record is from RNAcentral.
AGAGUUUGAUCAUGGCUCAGGAUGAACGCUAGCUACAGGCUUAACACAUGCAAGUCGAGGGGAAACGACAUCGAAAGCUUGCUUUUGAUGGGCGUCGACCGGCGCACGGGUGAGUAACGCGUAUCCAACCUGCCCAUCACUUGGGGAUAACCUUGCGAAAGUAAGACUAAUACCCAAUGACGUCUCUAGAAGACAUCUGAAAGAGAUUAAAGAUUUAUCGGUGAUGGAUGGGGAUGCGUCUGAUUAGCUUGUUGGCGGGGUAACGGCCCACCAAGGCGACGAUCAGUAGGAGUUCGUGAGAGGAAGGUCCCCCACAUUGGAACUGAGACACGGUCCAAACUCCUACGGGAGGCCA